Molecule: ribosomal RNA, 253 nt
Filed under: uncultured bacterium
Lineage: Bacteria
Description: partial 16S ribosomal RNA
Rfam family: Bacterial small subunit ribosomal RNA
Source: RNAcentral
UCCGGAGGGUGCAAGCGUUAUCCGGAUUCACUGGGUUUAAAGGGUGCGUAGGUGGGCUGGUAAGUCAGUGGUGAAAUCUCCAGGCUUAACUUGGAAACUGCCAUUGAUACUAUCAGUCUUGAAUACCGUGGAGGUCAGCGGAAUAUGUCAUGUAGCGGUGAAAUGCUUAGAUAUGACAUAGAACACCAAUUGCGAAGGCAGCUGGCUACACGAAUAUUGACACUGAUGCAUGAAAGCGUGGGGAUCAAACAGG